This 233-nucleotide ribosomal RNA is filed under the name uncultured bacterium. RNAcentral describes it as "partial 16S ribosomal RNA". It matches the Rfam family "Bacterial small subunit ribosomal RNA", at positions 118 to 347 of the family's 1533-position model. The record is from RNAcentral.
UGAGUAACCUGCCCUUAACUCUGGGAUAAGCCUGGGAAACUGGGUCUAAUACCGGAUAUACCUCAUGGACUGCAUGGUUUGUGGGGGAAAGCUUUUGCGGUGUGGGAUGGACUCGCGGCCUAUCAGCUUGUUGGUGAGGUAAUGGCUCACCAAGGCGACGACGGGUAGCCGGCCUGAGAGGGUGACCGGCCACACUGGGACUGAGACACGGCCCAGACUCCGUACGGGAGCAG